RNAcentral lists this ribosomal RNA (465 nucleotides) under Vreelandella stevensii. RNAcentral describes it as "partial 16S ribosomal RNA". It matches the Rfam family "Bacterial small subunit ribosomal RNA", at positions 338 to 795 of the family's 1533-position model. Lineage: Bacteria; Pseudomonadati; Pseudomonadota; Gammaproteobacteria; Oceanospirillales; Halomonadaceae. The record is from RNAcentral.
CCUACGGGCAGCAGCAGUGGGGAAUAUUGGACAAUGGGGGCAACCCUGAUCCAGCCAUGCCGCGUGUGUGAAGAAGGCCCUCGGGUUGUAAAGCACUUUCAGUGAGGAAGAACGCCUGGUGGUUAAUACCCAUCAGGAAAGACAUCACUCACAGAAGAAGCACCGGCUAACUCCGUGCCAGCAGCCGCGGUAAUACGGAGGGUGCGAGCGUUAAUCGGAAUUACUGGGCGUAAAGCGCGCGUAGGUGGCUUGAUAAGCCGGUUGUGAAAGCCCCGGGCUCAACCUGGGAACGGCAUCCGGAACUGUCAAGCUAGAGUGCAGGAGAGGAAGGUAGAAUUCCCGGUGUAGCGGUGAAAUGCGUAGAGAUCGGGAGGAAUACCAGUGGCGAAGGCGGCCUUCUGGACUGACACUGACACUGAGGUGCGAAAGCGUGGGUAGCAAACAGGAUUAGAUACCCCAGUAGUC